GCGGAUGUGGCGGAAUUGGUAGACGCGCAUGUUUCAGGUACAUGUGGCCUUGUGCUAUGGGAGUUCAAGUCUCCCCAUCCGCA
Prochlorococcus marinus str. MIT 9211 is the source of this 83-nucleotide transfer RNA. It matches the Rfam family "tRNA". Rfam says of the family: Transfer RNA (tRNA) molecules are approximately 80 nucleotides in length. The record is from Rfam. Lineage: Bacteria; Bacillati; Cyanobacteriota; Cyanophyceae; Synechococcales; Prochlorococcaceae.